GAUGAACGCUGGCGGCGUGCCUAAUACAUGCAAGUCGAGCGAACGGACGAGAAGCUUGCUUCUCUGAUGUUAGCGGCGGACGGGUGAGUAACACGUGGAUAACCUACCUAUAAGACUGGGAUAACUUCGGGAAACCGGAGCUAAUACCGGAUGAUAUUUUGAACCGCAUGGUUCAAAAGUGAAAGACGGUCUUGCUGUCACUUAUAGAUGGAUCCGCGCUGCAUUAGCUAGUUGGUAAGGUAAUGGCUUACCAAGGCAACGAUGCAUAGCCGACCUGAGAGGGUGAUCGGCCACACUGGAACGGAGACACGGUCCAGACUCCUACGGGAGGCAGCAGUAGGGAAUCUUCCGCAAUGGGCGAAAGCCUGACGGAGCAACGCCGCGUGAGUGAUGAAGGUCUUCGGAUCGUAAAACUCUGUUAUUAGGGAAGAACAUAUGUGUAAGUAACUGUGCACAUCUUGACGGUACCUAAUCAGAAAGCCACGGCUAACUACGUG
RNAcentral lists this ribosomal RNA (497 nucleotides) under uncultured bacterium. RNAcentral describes it as "partial 16S ribosomal RNA". It matches the Rfam family "Bacterial small subunit ribosomal RNA", at positions 28 to 507 of the family's 1533-position model. The record is from RNAcentral.